CCGAGUUUCCCUCGUGCUAGUAGAUAAAUGGAGACCAAGCCCUCCCGCGCCUCAGUGAUCGGGCCAGUCGCAGAAGUAGUUGCCGUCGUGAAGCAGUGAGCGCACCGAAAGGACAAAUCGUGCCGCCGUGGUUGAUUCGUGCAGAUGGCAACGUCGGGUCCUCGGUAGGCGGUAUUGGAGGACCACUAGUAUUAUCCGCACGUUGUCAAGACCUUUCUAGGCGAGGAGAUCCACCAUUGAUGCACCAAUUGCUCGCCGGGUUUUGAACUCCGCCGCCAAGCCAUUGUCUAUCGUGGUCAGCUCCGUCGUAGCUUCAACCCCGGGUAAGAACCCCACCAAACGACUCAUGUCUGUUCCCCCAUCGCGUUGCAGGGACGGAUUGAAGAAUGGCGCAUCAGGACUUGGGAUUGGUCGUGCGCCGACGACUUCCACCGUGGGUUUGGGGCGCCAGCGCCACUUUGGGUAGCCACCGGGGGCUUGGGUGGAGGCAUGUGCACUGUCCAUUGGAUGAAUAAGGGCCAAGAUUAGAUCCUGCUCACACCUCUUCAUGGGAGGAAUACUAGCCGCUAAUUCUUGGAUGAACGACCAUGAAUAGACGUACCCGUGCCGGUUCGGUCAGGUUAUGAGGGUCGUCCAUUGAGCGAUGGACGGAUAGGAUUAGCUCCCCAUUUCAUUAAAACAUAGCCAUCGAUCUCCAAUCUAGCGGAUGGCAUGGCAACAUGUACCGGUUCACAUGGGGGGCUGAUCUAAUCGGUGCCACUCGUGCUUGAUCGGGCGGCCAGGACUUAACCAUAUCCCUUCGGCCACGUGUUUAUGCAAAAGAGACCCUCAGAUUAUUACAAAUCAACCCGCCGUCCUCUCCUAUAGAAAAACUACACAAUCAGGCCCAGGUCUUUAUAAAAACAACCCUGAGAUUAUGAAAAUUUGUGGCCGUCGUCCACGUCCCUAGGAUAUUCAUAUAUUAAUACAAGGAAAUGAAUUAUCAGUACAUAGAUAAACCUAUAAUUUUCGAAAAUUCAUAACUUUUGCCUUUUAAUUCCGUUUUACCCCGUUCAAGUUGCGUUAGCUUCGUAUAAAUAUUUACUAUGCAGUAACAACAUUAAUUAUACCAUAUCACAUACUUUUAUAGUUAGAUAUUCAUUUAACAUAUGUCUACUAGAGUAACUCUUCUAAUCAGAGCUAACAUGUCCAUAAUUAUAAUUUGGUUAGAAUAUGAUCUCUAUUCAAGUUAUAAUUAAGAUUAAAGUGAAUUAAUUAUUUCUUUGGAUUAUCUUUAUCUCAUGGUUUAUAAAAUCAACUCAAAACCUAGUUUUAAUUACUUAAUCACUUAGGUCUUCCAAAAACCAUAUCUUACUAACAGUAACUCCAAUUUUAGUGGUUCUCGAACCUAGGUUCUUGAUACAACACGUAGAUUAUUAGUAUGCAGUUUGUUCUUAUGUUUGAUGUGAUGUUAAUUUUGCCUAUACCAUGGUUGUUUGUAUUGCUACAUUUAGCAGUGAGGUCGCGAGAAUCUGAAGAUCAUCCUGGUACCUGGAAUCUCAAGUCUAAGGCAAGUUGUGCCCUUGAUCACUUUUCUUUACCCAAUAAUGUUCAUGUUAAUCACGGUGACAUGCUCAGGUUAAUUUGAUGGGACCUAAUAGGUUUCUCUAGACUUGUUCAUCCUACACCUUGUUUACCAUGCAUUGAACUUUUAGGUAGCUUUGCUAAUGCUCUACCUGGUUUUGGGAUUAAUAUUACAUUAUGAUCAUGUUCCAAUUAUACUGUUGUUUUAAUUAUUGUUCAUGAUAAGAUCAUUGUGUUAAUUGGAACAUGAAGCUUAACUUGAGAAACACGUGCCACCACAAGGGUGGAAUGGGACGCCCUUGGCUGACUAAUUAGGAAAGCUAGUGGAGGACUACCUUACCCAAAAGUGGCAAGGGCAGUAGGGGAGUAGGCGUGUAGGGAGGUUCUCGGGUUGACUUUGCUGCAUUGGCGGUCAGACGGGGGAUCCCUGCAUUGCACUCCCUAGAAACUGUAGCGGGUUUUUUGAAGCUAGUGGAACUUUAUAAAGGCAUCGUAGGUUACCCUACCUCGUCUCGUCGGUAGAGAUGAAUGGGACUUCUAGACCACUUGGCAACCGGGUGACAUGACUUGUGGGUAAAGGGUACAACCUCUGGAGAGUGUAAAACUGGUAUACUAGCCGUGCUCGCCGUCAUGAGCAGCUCAGGACUCUCGCAUGAUUAACUUAUGGAAUUAAUAAAUUCAAUUUGUCAUUUGCAUGACAUUGUGGUUUAUUAUUAAUUUUGAUCUAUUAUUACUCUGGUUUGGUAUCUACUUAUACUUAGUAACAACUAAUAAAAUUUUGACCAAGUUUAAAAGAAAUGCUCAGCUUUAACCAUCCUCUUUGGUAAGCCAUACACUUCACCUGAGCUCCCACCUUUGGCGAGUUCAUGCACAUUAUUCCCCACAACUUGUUGAGCAAUGAAUGUAUGUGAGCUCACCCUUGCUGUCUCACACCCCCCAUAGGUCAAGAACAGGUAUCGCUGGAUGAGGCGCAUGGAGGAUGCUGUGAUGAGUUCGUGAGAGGUCUAGGUCGUCAUCUCCCAGUAAACUUUGGGUUGGUGGAUCAUUGUCUUCAUAUGAUGUAAUUAUUUAAACUACUUGUACAGAACUCCGUUAUAUAUUAAGGUUGUGACAUUCGUUUCUGUACCAUGAGUCAUCAUAUGUGUGAGACUUGGUCCCAACACACUUGGUGAUUAUGUUCGUGCCCGGGUCUUGGUGCCCCGAAACUCGGGUG
This 2776-nucleotide long non-coding RNA is filed under the name Zea mays. RNAcentral's name for it is "long non-coding RNA (ZMAY_LNC002111)". The record is from RNAcentral. Lineage: Eukaryota; Viridiplantae; Streptophyta; Magnoliopsida; Poales; Poaceae.